RNAcentral lists this ribosomal RNA (253 nucleotides) under uncultured bacterium. RNAcentral describes it as "partial 16S ribosomal RNA". It matches the Rfam family "Bacterial small subunit ribosomal RNA", at positions 524 to 776 of the family's 1533-position model. The record is from RNAcentral.
GACGAACUGUCCUAACGUUGUUCGGAAUCACUGGGCUUAAAGGGCGCGUAGGCGGUCCGACAAGUCAGGGGUGAAAUCCUGCAGCUUAACUGUAGAAGUGCCUUUGAUACUGUCGGUCUGGAGGGAGAUAGGGGUGUGCGGAACUCACAGUGGAGCGGUGAAAUGCGUUGAUAUUGUGAGGAACGCCGGAGGCGAAAGCGGCGCACUGGAUCUCUUCUGACGCUGAGGCGCGAAAGCUAGGGGAGCAAACGGG